AUACGUAGGGAGCGAGCGUUGUCCGGAUCUACUGGGUGUAAAGGGUGCGUAGGCGGCUGAGCAAGUCAGGUGUGAAAACCAUCGGCUUAACUGAUGGACUGCAUUUGAAACUGCUUGGCUUGAGUGGAGCAGAGGCAGGCGGAAUUCCCGGUGUAGCGGUGAAAUGCGUAGAGAUCGGGAGGAACACCAGUGGCGAAGGCGGCCUGCUGGGCUUUAACUGACGCUGAGGCACGAAAGCAUGGGUAGCAAACAGGAUUAGAUACCCUGGUAGUCCAUGCCGUAAACGAUGAUUACUAGGUGUGGGUGGUCUGACCCCAUCCGUGCCGGAGUUAACACAAUAAGUAAUCCACCUGGGAAGUACGACCGCAAGGUUGAA
This 376-nucleotide ribosomal RNA is filed under the name uncultured bacterium. Its description in RNAcentral is "bacterial SSU rRNA". It matches the Rfam family "Bacterial small subunit ribosomal RNA", at positions 523 to 898 of the family's 1533-position model. The record is from RNAcentral.